RNAcentral lists this long non-coding RNA (795 nucleotides) under Medicago truncatula (barrel medic). Its description in RNAcentral is "long non-coding RNA (MTRU_LNC002864)". Lineage: Eukaryota; Viridiplantae; Streptophyta; Magnoliopsida; Fabales; Fabaceae. The record is from RNAcentral.
AAAUGGUAAAUUUAUUUAUCAACCGAUUUAACAGUAACCGAUUUAACACUGUUAAAUGUAUAACAUUUUUUUGUGUGGUGUUACAAUAUAACAAAGAAAAAAGAAAAGGAAAAAAAACUAAAAUGCUAACUAAUUAGUUUGUCUCUUAGAAUGAGAGACGUUAAGAGGACGAUUCCAGUGAGUUGAGCAGGCGGAGUAGGAAGCCUCCUUACCAUAAAGUCAACACAGAUGUUAUGAACUAAAUUUACAGUCUCAUGAUGCAAGGCAUCCGAGAUUUCUAGUAACACAGAGGCAUAUACAUGUAAACUUGUAUUUUUCAAGUUGUGAAUAUGAUUUACCGUUUCUAAACAAUCACUCUCACAAAUAAUGCUUGUAUAACCAAGAUCAUAUCAAGUAGCAAUCCCAAGUUAAAUAGCCGAAGUUCUGCCAAGAUUGCAUCACUGCCAUUUUUAAAGUGAGUGAACCCUGCUAUUCAACUACUAUCAUGGCCACGAACAACUCUACCAACUCCUAGACGGGAGAUGUCUUCAAGAAAGUUGUCUUCCACAUUAAUUUUGAUGAGACCCUUAUGAGGUGGUUUCCAACGCGAUAAGAUGUGAUCCAUAGAUGUAUCAUAGCUCGGAAGUUGGUAAAAAAAUCAUAAACUCGUCAUGCAACGCUCGAGUCUUUCUCGCCACUUCUUGAAUCUGCCAAAGGUGUUCUUCAAAAAUACUAAAUGUAUAACAUUUAGUUAAGCUGAAAGAAUAUUGUUUAUCUUUGAAUCAAUUGUUCUUUCAACUAUUUUUAAAUGGCAAC